AACAGAGGGUGCAAACGUUGUUCGGAAUUACUGGGCGUAAAGCGCGUGUAGGCGGCUCGGCAAGUCGGAUGUGAAAGCCCUGGGCUUAACCUAGGAAGUGCAUUCGAAACUGCCAAGCUUGAGUUCUGGAGAGGAAGGCGGAAUUCUCGGUGUAGAGGUGAAAUUCGUAGAUAUCGAGAGGAACACCGGUGGCGAAGGCGGCCUUCUGGACAGCAACUGACGCUGAGACGCGAAAGCGUGGGGAGCAAACAGG
This 253-nucleotide ribosomal RNA is filed under the name uncultured bacterium. Its description in RNAcentral is "partial 16S ribosomal RNA". It matches the Rfam family "Bacterial small subunit ribosomal RNA", at positions 524 to 776 of the family's 1533-position model. The record is from RNAcentral.